CACUCUUUGUUAAGUGAAUCACUGGAGACUCUUAAAUUAGCUAACUGUCAGGGUUCUGGCAGUUACUCCAGUUAAAUCAUGAGCCUCGAGCCACGCUCCCAACGCUAAAGAGAAUUUAUUUGAAGCUACCAUUUUACGUCCGGCACUAACCUGGGUGUAGCCAACUCCGAGAUAUGUAAUUCACUGUCACCCUUGAUUCUGCUUUCCCCCCUACCCCUCUGGGUGUAUCAUACAACGAAGAACUUCCAUAGCCAAGAGUCAUCAAUCAUGCUCUCCAAUUAUUUUUUGCACGGCAGAAGCUUCGGUCAUCUAAUCAGUUUUUGAAGAAAAUAUGAAUGGAACGUACUUUCGAUUCCACACUGCCGCCGGCUCUUUGAAACUCCACCACCCACUUCUUUCUAUUGUCAACUAUAAAAAGCUUAUACAAAAUAUUUUAGGAAAUAGCCAUUUUCAGUGU
This is a non-coding RNA of Pseudonaja textilis, 457 nucleotides long. The record is from RefSeq and is a predicted model, not a curated record. NCBI's taxonomy places the organism in Eukaryota, Metazoa, Chordata, Lepidosauria, Squamata, Elapidae.